AUUGAACGCUAGCGGGAUGCUUUACACAUGCAAGUCGAACGGAGUCGCGGACGUGUGGGAAAUAUAUGAGAACGUGCGCAGUAGCGGGGGAUAACUACGCGAAGGAGGUGCUAAUCACGCAUUCUAUUGACUCGGCCGAUAUCGGAUUAGCUUGGUGGGGGGGUAAAGGGUCACAAAGGCAACGAUCCGUAGCUGGUUUGAGAGGACGCACAGCCACACUGGGACUGAGACACGGCCCAGACUCCUACGGGAGGCAGCAGUGGGGAAUUUUGGACAAUGGGGGAAACCCUGAUCCAGCCAUCCCGCGUGUAUGAUGAAGGCCUUCGGGUUGUAAAGUACUUUUGGCAGAGAAGCGGUAUCUGCAGAAUAAGCACCGGCUAACUACGUGCCAGCAGCCGCGGUAAUUC
RNAcentral lists this ribosomal RNA (407 nucleotides) under uncultured bacterium. Its description in RNAcentral is "partial 16S ribosomal RNA". It matches the Rfam family "Bacterial small subunit ribosomal RNA", at positions 30 to 526 of the family's 1533-position model. The record is from RNAcentral.